Molecule: non-coding RNA, 17401 nt
Organism: Xyrichtys novacula (pearly razorfish)
Lineage: Eukaryota; Metazoa; Chordata; Actinopteri; Labriformes; Labridae
Source: the annotation of a GenBank genome assembly
GUGAAAGAGUUCGGCGUUUAUCAUUUCCUAGUGAGUUGACACAAAGGACACGGCUCUGGUUUUGUGUUUCUUUCUUCCACUUUCACUUUGAGUCUUUAUCAGCAUCAAAUUAAUUACACUGGACAAGCCGGGAAGAAAUCUUCAUUAUGUACAAUUGAGAAGUGAUUUCAGCAAACAAUAAAUGGAUUUCAAUGAUUCAUUUUUGGUCCAUUUAGCUACUUUCAGUUUCAGGUUGGUAACAUGCUGUAAAGUGCAAAACAGGAUAUCUUAGUCACAAAGAUGCUGACAAAUUUGUGAAGGUAAAUCAGAAGAGUGACGGUUUCAUUGUCAUUUUAAUCGACAUUUGUUGGUUUCCAUCUUCUGUUUCUAACUUUUUGCUUGUAUAAACACAAUUAACUCCAGCCGACAUCAAGAAAACUUAAUGUAAAUGUCUGUUCUCUCAACAAGACGACCUCCUGAAUAUGAUUAUUGAAAAGGAUCAAUGAUAAGAUUGGAUCUGAUUUCUUUCAGUUACCUGGUUGAGUUCCCUCAUUUCUGUUCAAGGUCAGUUAGGGUUUAGUAGACAUAUAACAGCAUCAUUGGUGGUCUUGUCAUGCCGGCCUUGGGGUCUAAGACUUUGACCUUGUAAUUGCAACUUCCUGUCUUUAAUUCCAGCAGGAGUUUCUUCUGUCAGUUCUCUAAAUGAGCCAAAAGUUUCAUCUCCAAAAGCUUUUUGGUGAAAUAUCGCCCUAUAAAAAGGCUGAAAAUCAACCCUUCUACACCAAUAUUUCACGGUUUACCAAACACUCUCUCACUGGUCUUUGAUUUAAUAUAAAAGUGUGUUUUUAUGUUUGCUUAAACUUUGUUGGAGCCGUUUCUAAGUCUGCUCAGUGAUGAUUUUGUUUGUCACGGUCAUGACUUUUCUAAUUCUAAGCAAUCUCUAAACCAUUUAGCGAUCACCAUCUAUCAUCACAUGAUGACAGCAUUUUCCUCUACCAACCUGCCAGCAUGUGUGAAAACAACCAAAAUAGAUUCUUAUUACUUAUUGCUCCUUUAAUGAUCAAUAAAAUUCUAUCUAAUCUAAUCUAAUCUAAUCUAAUCUUAUGGAGCUGUGGUCAGCCCAAUUGCUUCUGAUGUGAUCCCAGUGGAGGAAAAAUAUAAAAGCUGAUUGGCUUUCUGUUUUUCAGAGGAAUUAUAGGAAAAAUUAAUGUAUACAUUUUCAUGAGAGGAAGCAAAGCAUAGGUGAAACAUGGGUCACAAAAGAACUCAAUGAAGUUACGAGGAACUCAUCUGACUGAUGGACAAGGUCAAAUGUUGUUGGGCAGGUAUUUGUGUCUCAGGCGUCUCUAUAAUAACAGCAUUUACAAAUUGGCAGUGAGAGUUAGCUUCAAGUGUUGACUAAUUUCAAUGAAACUUAGUUUAAGAAUUUUGCAUGGGUCAAUGAAGACCCCCAUUAAAUUUAGAGCAUCUCUACCCAAUUCGUGACCACACACUUUGAAGAUGAACCAAAUUUAGUCUUUAAGGUAUGAACACAACUUUACGGGUUUCUAAAAGAUAAUUAAAGCUACUAUAAGGAGUUUUUUUAUGGUUAUGAAAUAGCCUGAAAUUUAAAUUGAUGCUUUUUUGUGAUGUUAAUAAGCAAACAAAACCAUAAGGGGCAAGAUUGGCAAUUUUUAUAAUGACAUUAAUAAUGCCUGAAAUCGGUGUGAGGGUGUAGGUACAGAAAAAGCUCAGUAUUCACAAUGGUCACAUGGAACACAAUAAAUGUUACUUUUGACAGUCAAAAGUCAAUUGGACGAGGUUUUUUGUCAAAAGACAUAACUGACACAUAAGAAGAAAAGAUAUGCAAAGACUGCUUUGGCCACAGAGUCACAGAAAGUCGCUUACACAAGCUUUAAAAACCUGAAACAAGGCGCAUAAGUUUGUUUUCGUCAAUCUUAAAGGCAAGUAGGUAGCUGCUUUUAUAUGCCUGCUGUUUCUUACUCACAUCUCUCCUUUGUCGUCUGUUGUGCAUCUAUUAGAGAUUCAAGAAUACUUUGCAAAUUUUUAUAUCUCUGAACAAACUCCAACAAUAGAAGUAUUGCAUACAAUGUUAUGCUGUGUUUCUCUUCAUACUGAAUAUUGAUGAAAUAAAAUAUUCAGACAAGCUCACACAUGAACUCCGCAUUCAGACCAAAGUUUUUCUGGAAUAAAGACCCCCUGCUACCCCCUUUAAAAGACAUCUCAGGUGGAAAAUAGAAUAAAAUACUCGCUCAAAAACUUUUUACCAGUUCAGGCAGAAACUCAAGCUUGAGUGAAGAUUGUCUGCGAGAGAGACGGAGAUGAAGAGGAUUGGAUGGAGAGAUGAAGAGAGGGAAACAGAGAUAGAAGGACAAAGAGAGAGAAAGAACGAGAAGGGGAGCAGGAGAGAUUUGAAGGAGGUUUUAAUUGUUUUCCCAUGAUGCUUUGAGCAGGGGGGCUCAAAGCGUCGGAGCAGAAAGCUGUUCGAGGGCCUAUCGUCCUGGCAACCAAGCCUGACCCUUCAGCACACACACAAGAAAACACACAAACACACACACUCUGUGGGUCAAUUUAAGUCUGACAUCAGCAGGGAGGAAUGCAUGGGUGGGGGGGGAUCAGGAGGUGAUUUUUUUAGAGGGAGGGGUUGAUGAUGAUGAGGAUGAGAUGAUGGGGAAAAGUUUUAGGGAUUAAAAAACACAAAUCAGGGGAGAGAUCGGCACAUGAUUGUUCUUCAUAUCAAGAAAAACAGAUAAUGUUCAAACUUGUUAUAUUAUCUUUGUGAAGUUUUGUAGUUACCCCUCAUCAAACACCAUCUCUGAGUUUUCAAACUCUAAGUUGUUGGAAUCAGCAGCAGCGGUGGGAAGUGAAUUAAACUGUCAUUUUGUCAUCUGAGAUCCAGUCAGUGGGAAGAUGAUGACUAAUCCCGUUGAAUAUAUGUCAGAUUGACAGAGGUAGGACGCCGUUUUUGAACAAUUCAACUUAAAUCUCAGAGAAGUGAUGACAAAACAAAGAUACCAACUUACUUUCUGACUGCUAAUAACUGUUAUUAGAGGCACUAGAGUGGUAAUUUGCUAUGUUUCUCAUUAUUGGGAAAAUUAGUAUUAUCACUGCGGCGUGUUAUUCUGAGCCAAAACUAAAAAUAUAACAGUCAUUGUAGUUUAACAGCAAACUCGCAUCUAAUGUCACAAAAACUCUCAAGAGUCUGCUACACAUGAGUGUUUGCUCCUUUCUGCUAUAACAAUGAUAAAUUCAAGUAUAUGAGAAACUGUGCGGACUGAAAGACUGAAGAACAAAAUGACAAAAACGUGAAGAAAGAAUUUUAGUUUGACUAGAUAUUUAGCCAAAUGAUGAAUACUGGCCCAUGCUGAUUACUGGUCUAAUCUCAGAGUAAAAUCAUUCGCACAAAUGAAUCACAUGUUAAGUCAAUGCAAAGACGGGAUCAGACACUUCUACUACUCUGGUGGUGCGAAUGACGCGAAUUGGGCGUGAUUGAAUUGAAGUUGAAUGUCUCAAUUUGAGCGGAUAUUCCCCUCGCGAUAACUAAUCAGCAUGAAGGUUGCCGGGUGACGCAUGAAAAUGGACGGUUGUAUAUAAGGCGGAGGACAAACUGAUCGUGUCGGCGUGUGGGUGCCCUGAAUUAUAUGAUACCUUUUCUCUCAAUUACCACAACCGGAAUAAAAAGGAGCCUGGAGGUGAGUGAGUGAGUGAGUGAGGAGGUCAGAUUACCUAGUAAAUUGUAAAAAACCUUUGUCUAUUACUUGAUCACGCUGGUUAAAUUGGCUGGGAUUACCGUUGAAAUUACCGUUGACACGUGAAUGAAGCGAGUAAAAACUAUUCAUUCACGCGCCUAGAUUUGCGCGAAUUAAGCGAGUAGAUGAGUUUACUCGCACUUAGUGUGAGCGCCCCAUUAAUCUGAGGAGUAUGAUACCGUCCCGAGAGACGAGGAUAACCAGAAGACCUAUAAGACUAACCUCAUGGGAAUAAUUCUUUAUCUGCAUAGACUCCACUUCCAUUUUUGUAGUCCACUUUAAAACAAUUUUACACUACAUGUCCCAGUCACCCUUACACACAUAUUUACACACUGACGACAGAGUACUAACUGAUCCCAUUCACACACUGCAGGCCAUGAGCUAUCCAACACCCACUCAUGAUGUGGAUUUAUGGAGUCAUUUUGACUGAAACUGGACUUUUAAAGUCAAACUUCCUGUGGAUGCACGAACAUACCCAGAUGAUGUUGUUGGGGAUCGUUAUUCUCUUCCAGAUACACACCUUCAUUGGUCUGAAACUAGUGUGUUCUGUUCAAACAACAGGCUUUGACCCAGAAGUUAGAGAGUAAAAAUUAAUUGUCUGUAAAUGCAUAAAGUAACAAAAAAAACUCAAUAGAAGAAGAAAGGACAUAAAAAAACAAAGCGGUCUCAUCUGUACGAAAAGUAAAAAGCUGUGUAGUUGUCAGUGCUGUCAUUGUUCGAUGUAAAAUGCGUUAGCCUCAUGCAAACCUGUUUGUCGAUUGUUUUGAUACCUGACAGUGAUCACCUUGUAUUCGGCCGAAUGGUAGCGAGCUAAAAAAGGACAUACUUUUGUCAACAAACUGGGACAAGAACAGUUGCCCAGUUAAACCGCCUACUGGAGCUUGACCCUAGUUCAACUCAAAACGUACAGAGUGUCUUAAAAGGACACCCCAGCAGCUGAACUACAGAAACUGGGGAUUGAAAAUCUUUCAUUUCAAUUGAGAGAUGACUCACUCUACUACUAAACUCUAUAAAAUAAAUUUCAACAUAAUUUUAAGAAGAUAUUUUAAGAGAGACCUUCAGAGUUGCACUUUUAAGACCUUUUCUAAAAGUGUUCAUCGGAUGAGGGAGUGAAAUGAUCAUGUGUUGAGGAGACAAAGAAGAAAAACAAACCAUCACAUAGUUUGUCCACCCGUCUCUUCUCCUUGAUGUCAGGCAGUUAAAGCACUGGACUCUUUCUCUUCCUGUGAGAAGAGAAACUUGUGUUUGUGGGGAUGAAGGGAUGAAGGGAUGGAGGGAUGGAGGAAGGAGAGGAGGGAGAGUUCUUGGCUUCUUUGUUUCCAGGCCUUGAUGUGUGACCAGCAGCCUCUCCUUCCCUCCUCCUUCCCUCCCUCCAUCUUCCUAACGACAUACGGCCCAGCUCCUCUCUCCUUUUUUUUUUCUCCCUCACUUCUUUCACUUCCCUUCUUUCCAUCUCUCCUUCUUCUUCUCUCACUCCUCUCCUCCCUCUCUUCUUCUUCCUCUUCACCUCCUCCACCUCUCCUCUUCUUUGCCCACCCAUACUGUCUCCACAGGGAGCUGCUUCACACUGAGAGUGAAUCAAAAGGCAAAGGAGAGAAAUAUCCUUUCAACAUGCAUGCGUGCGCACACACACACACACACACACACACACACACACACACACACACACACACACACACACACACACACGCCAGAGGACUGUGUGGGAAUGAACCAAGGGGCCUCGCUCAAAUCCCUGUCUCUAGGCAACCAGCAAGGAUAUGCUGGGGGAACAGCAUUAAAGUUGGAGAAAAACUUAAAAACACACACAGCAAACACACACACACACACACAUACACAGAAGGAUACACACACACACACAUUCAGACUUACUCUCGCUUUCUGUUUACAAAAUCAGUCAGAAAUAUUGAGCAAUAGCAAAGCGGUAAAAGGUGAGAGAUGCCUUUAGUUCUUGAGUGUGUGAGGAAACAACUGUGUGUCUGUGUGUGUGUGUGUGUGUGUGUGUGUGUGUGUGUGUGUGUGUGUGUGUGUGUGUGUGUGUGGUGAAAUGAUUAAGAGUCACACCAAGAGCUGACCUUCAGAGUUUGACUCAAAAUCAACAGUGAUGCAGAGGUGAGCGAGAGCGCAAGAAUGUGUGUGUGUUGGAGGAGUUGUGUGAGUGUGCGGCACUAAAAUCAAACUGAGAAACUGUCACAUGUGCUUAUUUUGCAUGUGUGUGCGUGUGCAUUUGUGUUUAUGUGAGUGUGUGUGUGCGCACGUGUUUGUGCGAGCGUGUGCAUGCGUGCACAAAUGUGUUAUGUGGUGUGUGUGUGUGUCUGCCACCUCUGCAGCUGGCCCUCCAUCAGCAGAUUAAUAAGCUUUGUUGCCACGCCGACCGGAACCUAGUGACAACCAUCCAGGCCCGAGGCAUCAUGGGUAACGGACUGACUGGCCGCAAGCUGGCCCUGUUUUUACAGCUCUGUUUUGUCCCACACCGCGCUCCUGUGUGUCUGUGUGUGUGUGAUGGUUAAUUGCUCCUCUCUUGCCACCCUUCUCAAUGACAUCACUGCGGUCACAGAUGUUUUUUUCCCACUUCUAGGACCCCUGGACACACACACACACACACACACACACACACACACACACACACACACACACACACACACACACACACACACACACACACACACACACACACACACACAAAAGCUUAGGAAACACUUCCAAGCUUUUGACUCACUCUGCCUCUUUCUCUCUUUCUUCCUUCCUCCUUUAAGUCCUCCCAUCGACUCCUUUCUUCUUGCCGCCUGCGCCCCAAUAUUAUUGAACCCACUAACAAAGAAUAACUCAUUUUACGGUUGUUAAAUCACAGUUUGAGUGUUGGUGUACAGACGAUGCAGUGGCCUCAUUAUAUAAUAGGUUAUAGUAAUGAAAUUUAAUGACAGAAUACACUCAGUUUAAGUCAAAUUACUUCAUCUGUUUAUCCAAACAUGCAGCCAAGGAACAGAAAAAGAUGCAACAUGUCAGCUAGGAUAAGUUUUUUCACUAUGCUCGUAACUUUUUCCACAACUUCGAGGGGGGCCCAGGUCUUCGAUCACCACAUUUCAAAACCAGCUACCUGUUGAUGCUGCAAAGCUGUACAUGCACUCAGUGAUAUUUCACCGUGUACUGAAUCACAAGCUGGGAAAACAACUUUCAAUCUCUUAAAAUCACUGAAGAAAAAAUACAAUUCAGAGGCACUAUGGUUGAUUCAAACAUGAUGUGAUGUACUGUGAAGUUGCUUGACACUACCAUGAAGGAACAUGCACAAACUCUUUUGCAUGCACUAUGUGUCCUCUUUGACGUUUGUUGUAUUUCAUGUUGCUGUUGCAAGAGGAAUAGAGGAGUAAAGAAAGAAGGUAUAACUCCCUAUAACUCCAUUUGUUGGUGCUUGUUUGGUGUAUAAACUGAUCUGCUUUCAUAAUAUCAUGAUUUUAGUUUUUUUAUAUUUCAAUUUUGUCCUGAUUUUGUUGCUUAUAUUGUUGUACAUUGACUACAGAUGUAAAGUAGCUCAUUGCUCACUCUGGUCCAGCUAAAUUUCUGCACACUCUCUCUGUCAGGAAUAAACAAAAUUAAACACAUUAAAUUAAGUUCUAAAGUUUAGACACUCAAAAAAGACAAAUCUUUUGCUAAAACCUGUCAAAAAUAAAUCAGAAAAGGCCUUCGACUAUGUGCUCCCUCUCUCUUAAUCUUCAGAAAACCUGCUGCCAAACAUUUCCCAUAAUUCCUCUCAAUGGCGUCUUUCAUUGUGGUUACUUGCCUCCAGAAUUCUCCAUUUCUUUUUAACUCCACAUUUCCUGUUUUUGAUGCAGACGAGCCUAAAAAACACUUCAAGAUAAUACGAUUUUCCUAAGACUUUCACAGGCCGUGUUUGCUCUGACCUAACUAAUUAAUAUAUGAAAUGAGUGCCGUGAACUUUCAUUUUGCUAUAAGUUUGCAUGUUAAGAUAUUUUAUGAAACUUCAGGUCUCCGAUCACAGAAAGAUCUUGGAUGUGACUUCUUACGCCCACACAAAGAGUCUUAUUAUAUAUGUUCCCUUCUUAUUCGUCUUUAUUGGGGAACACAAAGUCAGACUCUGACUUCAGCUCCUACUUGAACUCACUUCUCUUCUUGUCUCCUGUCCUUGUCCUUUCUUCUACCUCUUUAAUAAGCUGCUCCUUAUUUCAAACUUUCUCUGCAACUUCUUUAGAUUUUUUAAAACUUUUUCAGUUAAUCAUUUUAGUCCAACAGGAAAAAAAAAAAAAAGUCCUGUCAGAUGUUGUCAGGACUCUGUGGCUCUGACCUUUGACCUCCUGUGCAGUUGGUUGUAGUGUUAGUGGCUCUAUUGUGCUGUUUCACCUAUUGUUAGUCAUCAGUGCUGCUGCUGCUGCAGUUCUGUCUGAAUGAGCUGCCGGGCCAGGGUUAGGUGAAAGUCAAAAAGUGACAAGGACCUGCAGGUCAAGUCCAAGUCAAGAUGAGGAGAGACUGAAUCUCAUUUCUGACUAAUAUUUUCCAGUCAAUGCAUGACUAAAUUCGAACAAAGAAGUAUUGUUUUCAAAGAUUCGCUUACAAAAUUCUCAGACUGAACUCGUUUUUUCACCCCAAGUGUGGCGGGAGACAUUUUUAGAGCGACUGGAGACCUGAGAGCUGGCAUGGAGAUGGACAAAGAAGAAAACUGUCCCGUCAGUAAAGCGGAAAGACAAAAGAAAGUUUUUCUCCUCUAAUCAAAUCAGAGUUUUUUACAACUUAAACUCUUCUUUUUCUUUCACUUUUCUACAUUUGUAUCACUAUUCCACAAUUUUCUUUCCUCCACACUACUUCCCUGUGUUUUUUUCCUGUCACACUUUCUGUCUUUGUCACAAACUCUCACUCCACUCUCUCCAUAGGUGCGUCUAUCUCGCUGCAGUGUGGGGCCAUGCAGUUGCAGUGCCCCCUGGUGUCAGAAUCCUGUAUCAUCAGACCUUAAACGGUGCCAGUCUUAGUCAUAGUAAUUGUUCCCUAAUGAUUUUUAUAAUGUCUUCUUUCACUAAGGUAAGACGUAGUUUAUAGACUCACCAGUCCCAGUGUAAAUACCUGAUCCUGUGGGUACAGGAUUUCACAAAAACCAGGAUCUGAGGUUCAGGGUUGAUGGGAACAUUCUGGUUUUGUUUGUAGUUUUCUGUUAAAACUGUCUAAAAAUGAUGAGACCUAAAAUAAAAGUCAAGCUAUAAGGCAGCAGAGUGUCUUUUUAACACCGCACCGGGGACUAGUUUUGGGCCAACAGUUGGGGAAACAUGACAGAAAAUACGACCAUGGGAGAAUAAAUUGCAAAAAAAGGAAGGAAAUAUAAAUGAAAAAGUAGCAUGAGGCCAUGCAAGCCUUCUGACUCAAGCAAUAGAGACAAAUUUUAUGCUGAGAUCAUGAAAACCAUAUUUGAAGAUGACUCCAAACCACUUUCAUCUCUGCUCUUGCUUGUGAAACCACAUUAAACUAACUGCACCAACACAAAAUACCAACUUCUGUCUCGUCACGAGGAGCACUUCUGUCAGAUCAUUUCUCUCACUUUUAAUUUCUGAUGCCUCUGCGAGCGGCUCUGAAGUUAAAUCAGGCUCUCCUCGGGCGUAAUGGAGACACGUGAAACCACUUGCAGAGCGCUUUUUGGCUCAGGUGUGAUUUCCACAAACAGGGGAGAUGAUUGACGUUGGCUGCCAGACAGGGGAACAUUUCUCCGUCAGCACAUUUGUAUUAUGAUAGUAAGAGAGGACUAAAUAGAGUAAAAUAGAGUCGAACAGGAUAGGAAAAAAAGACAUCAGAGGAGGAAGAGAAAGGAUUAGAAUCAAAGUAAAAGUUGAAAAUCACUUGACUUUUGGUCCGUGUUAAAUUAUCCAUGACUGAACGGUGCAGACUGUGGGCCUCAGUGAAAGCUACUUUGUCUGACUGAGCUCUGUCCGUCUUAAUGAAGCUAAAAGAGUCUUAAACAGCUUAACACAGUCUUCAGGUUUCUACCUGUGUAAGGCAAUACAGUGAGUGUAAUGAUGCACAGAGCCACGCUGUGCAUGUGUCUGUGUGUCUGUGUGUCUGUGUGAGUGGAUGCACGAGACAGAGAAACUAUACUGUACCCUCUGCAAGUGUGUGUGUGUGUUUAGGAGAGCGGAGACAGUGCAGGUGAAAGCAGAGACGACAUCAGAGUCUGAAUUAAAGGAUAAUUACAACUAAACAACAGGAGACUGUUCCCAUGAAGAGUCUAGGAGGGAUUAUCACUGCUUAUUGCUCCUUUACAUUGUAGAGCUUUCGUGUCAGCGUGCGUGUGUGUGCGUGUGUGUGUUCAGUCCUCUUUACAACAAAACAUAGAAAGAGUUGAGCUGAGUUCUUUCAAUAUGAAUCCCUCGCUCAAUCAAUAUUAAACAACAAUGUGACAGAGAUCAGCAGCUUUAGUCUACAUCAACACUGCCGUGCCCUGCAGGAAAAUUCAGACACUGAAACAUCCAACAUAAUGAAAAAUGAAAAACAUCAGAGUCUGAAACUUGACUUCAGAGAUCUGGGUUUGCGUUGUCGCUUAAGGUCAAAUCGAAUUCUAAGAGCAACAUCUAUCUAACCUGUGCCAAGUGGUGUCGUUCCCUAAAUGCAGUGAUAGUGUAGUUAGAGUAGAUCUUGUACUUCCUUUUCAAAAAAAUCCAAUAGUGUUAAAAAAAAUCCAAAAAGGAAAAACUGUAAUUGUAGGUACAACAAUUUUAUAGUUUCAAACGUCUAAUCAGAGAACAUAAUAAAAAGCAUGACAUGUCAGCUCCCAGAAAGUGUAGCCAAAGGAGUUAGAGCUCCCCCUGUUGACUGGCUGCAGUAUAGGUCACAAAUUUUACAACCUCCAUGGAAACAGAUGGGACAUGGGUUAAACUUUUAAAUCAAAAUACGAAAUAAAUUUUCCUCAAACAUGGUUUCUUUCAUGACUAAGUGACUCGUUUUAUGAGUUAAACUUCAUCUAGGGUUUCUUGUGCGUUUUGGUUUGUGGCAGGGGUAAGAAGUCAGGGAGAGGAUGUCUACUAAAGAGGCUGUGGUUCUAAUUGUGGGCAUCUUCCAAGGGGUUUGGAUUGGCUUGGUAGGUACAGUACAGAUUGAGAGGGUAAAUCCUGAUCUUUGAGUACUGCACCCUCUCGACCUUUGCAGUUCACACAGUACGCAUGUCUGACGGCCUCAGGGUGGCUUGAUUUUUGGCAGGAAUGUUAAUAGGUUGCGAUUUUGUUCUUAAAUCAAGCAUUUUGCAAACUUUUCAUGAAAAUAAUUUAAAGUUGUCAUUAAUCGUGUUGGCUGCACGCUAACUAUGUUAAUAACUAAGUAACUGUAGGUCCUGUUGUAGGUGCCAGUGAUAGUAGUUCAGGUUUGUACCCCAGCAGACGAGUACAGAAAAAGUCGGGGUCGGUAGUUUGGGUACCUUUUCCUAACUUUUGGCAAUGAAAACACAAAUAACUGCAUUCAUUCCACUUGUUGGAAACGCUCUAUGAAUUUUCUCAGAGCAAAGUGUCUUUGCUAGUUAAAGAAUUUUAACUUCACUUUCUUUAGUCGGGCAAAAGUGGGGAUGUUUUGUCCAUCAAUUGGAAACAGUUAACAACUCCCCAAGAGCACCAAAAUGAAAUACUUAAAAAUCUAGUUCCUGUGCACUUGAACAGAAGAAUGAGGAUGUUUGAAUGAGGAGAUCACGGUCACUAUGAUCUCUAAAAUAACUUUUGGUUACCGCACAAGAAUUCAUAUGAAAAAUAUUAACCAAUUUAAAAAAAAAAGGGCUGGAUAGGACCAGAUGACAAAGUGACGAGACCCUUAAAAGGUGACAUGGCCUCUCCUGAGUAAACACUUUUCUGGCAAUUAUUUGUAUCCCUAUUCUUGUGGAUGUGAUCCCUCCAAAAUCACAUGACAGAACUGCAUUAGUUUAACAUUUCUGUACAUUAUAUCCAUCCACAAUCACUCACGAUCCGGAGUUCUGCAGAGAAAACUGAAGAGCGUUCACGUAUUACAUCCCGAUGUUAACGGUUGAGUCUGGACAUGUGACAUUAACCUUCUGGGUUAAUGUUUUCUUCCAAAGCUUUUCAGUAUUUUAUUUUUGUCUUUUUCAUGCUUCAAUUUAAAGGAUAGGACAUUUAUAUGUUCUGAAUUUUCUAACAACAAUAAAAUGAAUUUUAUAACCUGUCCUUUACAGUGUUGUACUUGUAGAAGCACUGAUGGAUGCCUCACUAUCUCGAGUGGUUGAUGGAGAUAUUGUAUAACUGUACGGCUGAUCUAGUUUUGAAAUGCACAUAAUUGCGAGUUUCAAAGCAACCAACUUCAUUUAGAGGAGGGAAGUGCAGCAAAUUGGUUCCCCAAAGUUACCUGUCUCCCCUGUGUAUUCAUUUCUCAAUUUUGAAUCAAGAUUAAAAAACACUUUUUGGAUUAGUUUUUAGAGGAAAUGAUGUAUUUUUCUCACAGUUCACGGUCAGAUCCCACUCAAAAAUCCAACAACACUUUUCAAAUCAAAACAUGGGAAGAUUUGAUUUAAAAAGCUUAUUUCUUAUAUCAUUUCUCAAGGCCAGGAAAAAAGGGACUUGGAAAAUACUACGCCGACACGUUUUUUCAUCUUUUAAGGUUUUACCGUCAGAAUAAUGAAACUCGAUGCAGAUGUGUGGAAUGAUUGAAUACAUAAAAACAGUCACUUGCUUCUUUUCUCUAUCAGUUGAUGUGGCUGGAUCUUCUCUGGGUUUUUUCUUCUUAUGAUAUACUCGGCUUCAAUUUUAAGUUGAAGAACCUUCAAAUGGAUCAUUGAGAUCUUAAAAAGUCUAUGAGUCUCUCCUCUGAGUCACAGCCCCGUGGCUGAGCCCUCCCUGUGAGACAAAGCCAGAGUCCCAGCAGAAAAUUAGCGCAUUUAGCUGUCAUCGCUUAGCUCGCUUUACAAUCCAACCAGCAUUCACACAGAGUGCCCUGGCCUCUUUUCUCUCCUUCCAUCCAUCCAUCCAUCCACCCCUCCACCUCCAGCCCCCAGCCCUCGCUUGCUUGCUUUCUUUCUUUCUUUGAGCAGGAAAGGUGAUCCUCUGUAUAGCUCAGAGAUCAAGACGGGAAGGUGUAAACUGCAGAUAAAUGUGAUCAAGUGUCUCCGCUAUCACAAGCCCUCACAUCGGAGUGGCUGGCUGGCUGGCUGGGUUUACCUCCUCCCUCCCCGUCCACCCCCUGCCUCUACACCAACACGGAUUAGCUGCCCCCUCUUUGUGCCUCUCAGACAGGUGGAGGAGAUGAGGAGAUGUUGGGUUGUUCUGGAUCUGCGGACCUUUCAGACCUGCUCUCACUGGUAAAAUGACACUGAGCUUCAAUCAUUAACCUCAAACAGAUCCGUCGGACUCAAAGGUCACUUCAUGGCCACAGAAAAAAAACCCAAUGAGAUGAAUAUUAACGGUUAACUUCAUAUUCAAAAGAUAACUACUUUAAAAUAACAAAAUGAGGCGGUCUGUUCAUAACUCUGACGGUAUGUGUGACACAGUCAACUGUGCUGUUAGUCCCAUAUAGGCUCUCUGUGUUAAACACAGUGCUGUGUAUGGUGAGCAGGUUGUUUUGGCAGUUCAGAACCACAUUAGGGUGAGCAGGAUCUCCAGAUAAAAGGAUAAAGGUCUGGAGGGGCUCCUUCACUCGAAGAACCGGCUCACUAUACAGUAUCCGGUCUAUAACAUGUCAUCUAAUCUCACAUGUGAAAAAAAGGCAAUUUUAGAUGAUCCUUGUUGUGUUUGUUGGGCUGAUGUCAUGCCCGAUCUUCAGUUCUUCUGACAUCGUUCAUUUUUGUUUCUGAGGGUUUUCUCGGACCUCAGGAGCUAAUCAUUUACAGCUGUUUAGCUUCUUUGUACCUCCAUUGCACUCAAAAUUUUUCUCGGACAGCUCUGUGAAGACCUCUCUUUUUCAUUUCGGUGUUCACAAUUUUUCUGAACACAAGUAAGCUCUUGUGUUGGCACCACGUAUCAUCAGGCAGGUUCUCUAUUUCUGCCAUCCACCAAUAAUGGGGCGCUCUCACCAAGCGCAAGUAAAAUCAUCUACUCGCUUAAUUUGCGUGUCAACGGUAAUUUCAGCGGUAAUCCCUGCCAAUUCAACUGAAGGGAUCACGCUAAAGUCAAAGGUUUUUUACAUUUUACCAGGUAACCCAACCUCCUCACUCACUUGCCUUCAAGUGAGCUCCUUUUUAUUCCAGUUUCGGCACAAUCAACCAACACAAUCAGUUUGUCAUCUGUUUUAGAUACGUCAUCUGGCAAUCCCUGUGCUGAUUGGUUAUCAUGACGCGACUAUCUGCUCAAGUCGAGACAUUUUCAGCUCCCACCCAAUUUGCGUCAUCUGCGUCACCAGAGUAGUUUGAGCGCCUAAUCGCAUCUUUGCAUUGACUUUACAUGUAAUUCAUUCGCGCGAAUGAUUUUAUUCGCACGUGGUAAGUGGAGACAGUAAGGUUUAUGCUUCACGUUUAUUAUUGUUGCCAUGGUUACAUCUGUUGUGCUUCCUCCUUCAGUCAGCUUGCCUCCCAAUUUGCUUCUGUUUCGUCUGUUACAAUAGACAGAGUUCAUGUGGGUCAUCCUCAGGGAUCUCCCACACAUAAGGAUUUUUGAUCGUAGAUAUUAAGUGUAUCUGGGAUUUCUAAGUCAGGGCGGCUCUGAUCAUCGUCUGCAAAGAGCAGAGGGAAGAAAAAUCAUUUUUAACACACCUCACACCACAGGAUAAUCUGGAGAGAUAAUCUUUAGAAUCAUCCAAUAAUUGAGCCUUUGCUGACUUUUGUCAAAAACGGGGCCUAAAGUCGACACAAUUAUCUUGUAGUGUGUGUCCUGCCUCACAGUGAAGUGUAAAGAUAAAUUGGCAGAGUAAGAGGACAAUACAAGACAGUUUAAAGUGAAAAUUAAGCUCAGAAAAUCCUGGGAAUCAGAUCACGUUGACACCAUUUAACUUCACUUUCUGACUCUUCAUUCAGAGUCAGCUGUGUCACGGUGAGGGGGAAACUGACACAAAACUCCCUUCAUCAGUAAAAGUGCUAAAAUCCUCCAACUAAGACAUUUACAUGCAGUUCAGUUGAACCUAAUCUGCAGGAAGGAAGCCUUCCAAACAAGACUGUAAGAUCUCAGCGUCAUAUAAAACUGAUCUCUUCUUUGUGAGGAAAACAUCACUGACUAAAAACAGACAGUUUGAAUGAUAAUAGGUGCUAAUUACAGGUAUGUAGACACGGUGAAAAGUGCAGUAAAGUCACCGCUAAACGCUUCAUACUGAGUGCUGAUGAAGAUAAUUAGUGAAGAUUGAGAGAGAAAGCACUGAGGGUUUGUGUUUUUUUGUCUAAACUAAUAACCCUGACAGCAGCAGAUCCAGUUCUGCUAAAAACGGUGUGCCGUCUCUUCUGCUUCCAUUUCAGCCGAGAGCUUCAAGUGGGAAAAGGAAGUGGUACUACUCUCCUUACUCACUUGUUGGGGUGUGCAUCAUGUGACUACUAUCAGUGAGUAAAUCAUUCAACAUUGUGCUCUGAGUUUAUAAAGAUGCCAAUUAAAAAUGCUUAUUUCCAAACCAAACAUUUGUUAAAAUAUGACUUCUUUGAGGCCUCAGCACCUGCGCCUCACCAUGCACCUGUCCGAACACUGCAGGGACUUGAAAGUUCACAUUCAUUUGAUGUUACUCACAAGAAAUAAACAGACAUGUAAACGUUACUUUUAAGUUGAUAUGGGCGACACAGGUGAUGUAUUUCAGGUGCUGCUGUGUAUCCUCGAGAAAGACUAUGAUAUGGAGAAGAUAGAAAGCGUAAAUAGUCUCAACAGGUCACAGUACACCAGGGCUGCAACGAUCAGUCAACGUCGACAAAAAUCGAUAAAGAAAAAAGUCAACAAUGAAUUCCACUGUCGACUCUUGUCGCCAGACGUGUUUUUUCCAGUGGACUGCAUCCACUGCAUCUUACUUCAUUACGAUCUCUGCCUAGAGUCACACAUGCGCAAUAACGUCUCUGCCAAGCGACAGAGCAUUCAAACACGGCGGCGCAGCGUCCCAUACAGCAGCUGCGAGUAUGCGCUUAAAAACCUGCAAAGUCUGUGAGCGCUUUAGCCUGGAUAAGGGGAAAAGAAAAAAAAACAACUUGCAAGGUUUACAUAGCAGACCUUGCGUAUCAUGGCAGCACGCCGGUGAUGCACGAACGUUUGAGGAGAAGGCACGUAAUUAUCGGAUUAGUCGACUAACCGUUUCAAUAGUCGGUGACUCGUCGAAUAUUACAAUGGUCAUCAGUUGCAGCCCUAAUUUCAAGAUUUUUCUUGUAAACUUACGAUAAAACAACACCAUCGGUAACAUUGACCAAAAGCAGGUUAGAGGUGAAGACACGUGUUUCUACUCCAAAAACUUAACUUAAGAACAUAAUUAACUUUCCAUUCCAUUUCUUAUGAAGUCCAAAUUUCUGAUUUAUCAACAUCACCAGCUGUGUGACUGAAGCUUCUCUAGAACAGACACUGACUCAUCAAACCAUUGUCAUGUUUUUAUUUUGACAAUUUCCUGCCUUGCUCUUGCUCUUUAAUUUUGCUUUCAUUUUGAAGUAUAAGCUAUUUCUGUUUGAUUCAAGUUACAAAACAGAUCAAACUACAAACGGAAAAGGGACCAAAAAGUAAAAAUGUUCAACUGAUUAGUUUUUGAAGCUCCUAAUCGUCUCUCAGAGGGCGGCUACAGCUAGCUAGCUAUCAGCUGCUACACCUUCGUUUCACCUCUUUUGUGAUUUCUAAGCACAACAAUAAACUCUGGGUACUACUGAGAGCUCAUUUUCUAUGACAAAGCAUUCGGGCCACAUCAAGAAAAGAAUUACGAGAAUAAAGUCAUAGUAAAAUAAUUUCUUACAAGAAUAAAGUCAUAAUAAAAUCAUUACUUACGACAAUAAAGUCGUGGCUAAUAGCUAUUCUAACCUGUUGUUAGUUGUUUAAAUGAGCGCUGUGGAGCAUUUAGAUGAAUUGAACUUCAGUAGCUAAGUUUCACAAACAAGAAGAUAGUAAAUCCUUUGGUGUUUCAGCAUCACACUGUCAUGAGUAUCAGGAUAUAUGCGAGAAAUGCAUCUUUUCCACAGAAGGAACCAGGUGGACUUGUAGGGAAUCGCUGUUUCAAUGUCAGCAGCCAAUGUCUGCACCCUUAUAUACACUUAAAUACAAAUUACAUGAAUGACAUUUUCUAAGCGCGAAAGACGGUCCAAGAAAAGGUAAAGCAACUGAACAGACUUCAUGCAACAAGUCGAUGGCUCCGGUUUUGUUUUUGCUGCUUGUGUCUUCUUCUGCGGUGAAAAUUGUGACAAGGUAAGUGGCGACUUUAGCCGAAUUAAACGCCAACAGGGUAAAGUACCAUAUGGAGUCUGUUUUACACCAAUUUACCUCUUUGAGAAGUAUGACCAUAUGUCUGAGUAUAAACUGCUCUAUUGACACCUCUUUUCUUCCACUCUCCAUUUUUUCUCCAUCUCCCUCUCACUCCCCUCCUCAACAGUUCACGUGUCUGAUAAACCAUUUGUCCCUCCAAGGACGUUUUUCCCAUCCGAGCGCCCAUCCAGUGAAAUUACACACUCAACACAUAAUGGAAUCUGUUCCUAUCGUCUCAGCACAGAGAGACCCAGAACCCACAUCUGCUCCCGAAUACCCCAGACAAUAAACAAUUCGCUCCUCAUGUUCAAAUCUCAUUUUUCGGACAAAGUCUCAACAAUAAAAAGAAAGAAAUUAAGG